Molecule: long non-coding RNA, 2800 nt
Filed under: Zea mays
Lineage: Eukaryota; Viridiplantae; Streptophyta; Magnoliopsida; Poales; Poaceae
Description: long non-coding RNA (ZMAY_LNC004765)
Source: RNAcentral
GGAUAGCAUCUUAUAUUUGGUCAUAACUGACUUGUGAAUAGGAGGUUAUGAAUUCCUUUCGUCAUAAGCACCACUAUGCUAUGCUAGGGCUUCAACGCAAGCAGCAUAUUUUUACUGUUUGGAGAAGCUGGCCACAUGUGAGCCGUACCUACCUCAGUGCCUGACUACGUACGUGCUUUGAACAAAUAACAACAAAAACAAAGCAUUUCAGUCCCAAGCUUUGAACAAAUGAAAAGUCUAAAUUUUGAAUUGGUAAAUACCUUUGAACUAGCUAGUCUAUGCAUAUUCCUCUUUAAUUAACUUGUUGCUGGAUCCUAGUUUAGUUGUGUCAUGCACAUCUGGCAGCAAGAUGGCAUUAUAUGAUGAUGCUAAAUGAUAAGCUUACCUUUCACGAGUUUUUUUCCUUAUGCAAAUAGAGUUUUUGUAAUAAGGCAGCUCAUGCAUGUCCUUUGAGCACAAAUCGGAGAUAUGGCAUUGUAAUUUGUAACUCCCGCGUGCAUGUGUAAUUAAAUGAUAAGAAUUGAAGUAGUAAGCAUGGCAGGUUGGUUUCAUGGGUGGAUUUUGAACCUUGUGAAUUGAAAUUCAACUUGACCGAUAGCGCUGAAAAUCGCGUAGCCAAGUCGCCCCGGCCCCCUGCGCGUACGUUGGCCGACUAAGUUACAGAACCCGUUUUCUUAGCUUUCUAUGUUCAAAGAUACAAGUGACACGGUGUGUCAAGCUCAAGGAUAGCUACAAUAAUAUUUUACUCUAUAGUUUUAUGCCAGCCAAAGUCUCCCUAACUUCAGCUUCAUCAAACCGUCCCAACCUUUUUUGUGAUGGCUCAUGGCUGCACUUGGUUGGUUGGUAGUUGGACCGAGCCUCUCGUAAACAGAACGAGUGGUGCCAGCAACCAUGAAAAUGUGGUACUCAGGUUGAAGCAACAACUUAACGAAGGAACCGGUCCAUAUACAGUAGGCGCGGAGAGAAUUCUCGUGGCGGAAACUGAACGACGGGCGACACGUAGACGUAGGAAUUAAUGAAUUGGAAUGGACCCAUCAAGCGCUGAAAACCGCGCAUGCAGCUGGUAGCGACCGACGACGUCGUUGGUGAGUAUCUGCAUUUUAAAAAGAAAUUUACUAAUUAAAUAUCCUGACUCCCUAUGGCCAUAGUUUAAUUAUAUUAUAAGCGUGUUUAAUAAAUAAUUAGACCGUCAUUGGUAGUCAUGCAAUAUGGAAACCACUUUUCAUGCAUGCAUAUAUAUACACGCACCGUUUCAAGUAAGUUGACCAACGGAGGAUCAAGGACAUGCAUAAGCAUGUAAUAACCCAGGUGUCCUUACGGAAAGAACCAAGAACCAACAGUAACCCUGACGUACUAGCUGGUAACAAAGUAUAGGGCAUGCAACAAGAACAAAAAAUUCAACUGUCAUGCAUGUUGGUCUACUAUAAUACCGUUUGACACUUUGACCUUUACGUAGGCACGCUUGGACUCGAUCAACGAAUGAAGAGACAGGUCAGUAUGUGUGAGCGACCUGCCUACUCCUCCCCACAGCAUCAGACGAACUACGCGGAUAUGAUAAUUAAUAUACCGUUCAACUUGUCAUUAGCAAAUACCCCGAGAAAUCAUAUAUUUCUUAUGUCCGGCCCCCUGUAAAAAUGGGUGUUUUCUAACUGUGGUUUCCAGUAAAGUAGCAUUUUUCUACAGAAAUAUAGUUAGAUAUUGUAGAACUCAAAAACAAAAAUCAGUUGAUAUUUUUUUUUAUCUAUGAUCAUUUAGAGGGGCACAAAUAUAUGUUUUAGAUUUUUCAUAGUUCAUGUAUAUAAGUUAGGCAGGAGAUAUAGAUGGUAGAAGAUCUAUAGGCGGUUUUGCAAUUUACUAUUUGGGCACAUAGUGAUUUUAUCGCAUGGAGUGCAUGCAGGCAAGACAAUGUACUAAUCUAGUACUAAAGCUGAGUAUAUAUAAAGUCAUAGUCAUAGCAUAUGCAAUAACAAAACUUAUGUGAGUACAAAUACUUCUAAACAACUUAAUAUUUGUAGUCCUAAGGUGGCAAGACUGAUGUGUUUACAAUAUAGGAUCAUAGUAUUUGUCAUCUAAUCAUGUGUUGGAUGCUAGCUAGAACAAAGCAUCUUAUAUUUGGAAGAUUUUUUUUUCUGUUUGAGAUGUUUAGGGCCGAAAUAUAUAUAUUCAAUUCAAGAUUUGUGGAAAUAUUUAACCCAAAAGGAUAGCAUCUUAUAUUUGGUCAUAACUGACUUCUGGCGUGGCGGGCGUGAGAGGAAUAGGAGGUUAUGAAUUCCUUUGGUCAUAAGCACCACUAUAGCUAGGGCUUCAACGCAAGCAGCAUACUUUUACUGUUUGGAGAAGCUGGCCACAUGUGAGCCGUACCUGCGACCUCAGUGCCUGACUACGUACGUGCUUUGAACAAAUAGCAACAAAAACAAAGCAUUUCAGUCCCAAGCUUUGAACAAAUGAAAAGUCUAAAUUUUGAAUUGGUAAAUACCUUUGAACUAGCUAUAGUUUGUGCAUAUUCCUCCUUAAUUAACUUGUUGAUGGAUCCUAGUUUAGUUGUGUCAUGCACAUCUUGCAGCAAGAUGGCAUUAUAUGAUGAUGCUAAAAGAUAAGCUUACCUUUCACGAGUUUUUUUCCUUAUGCAAAUAGAGUUUGUAAUAAGGCAGCUCAUGCAUAUGUCCUUAGCAUAAAUCGGAGAUAUGGCAUUGUAACUCCCGCGUGCGUGUGUAAUUAAAUGAUAAGAAUUGAAGUAGUAUGCAUGACAGGUUGGAUUCAUGGGUGGAUUUUGAACCUUGUGAAUUGAAAUUCAACUUGA